Molecule: long non-coding RNA, 401 nt
Organism: Acipenser ruthenus (sterlet)
Lineage: Eukaryota; Metazoa; Chordata; Actinopteri; Acipenseriformes; Acipenseridae
Exons: 3
Source: RefSeq, a predicted model, not a curated record
GUGUUGCUUCUUUCAGGUUUGCCUGGUUGAACAGCAGUGUGCUGUCCUCACUGUCCCUUUCAAAAACCUAGCAAAAGAUGGGUUCUGGUUUGAUGGAUGAUGCUACAAUACCUGGAAGGUCCUGAGGGGAUGCUGUUAAGAGUGUGUGUCCAGUUUUAACCCACUGCCUUGCCAGGUUCACAUACUGACUCAGACCAAAAUCCUCCAACCAACUGCAAACCUGCUCCAUCUUCCACUGAGAAAAUGGAGCAUUCCAGUCACUGCAAGUCCGUGCCAGACGAGGCCCCGCUGUUGCCCGCAGCCCCCCUCUUUGGAAUUGAGAAGUGCCUGAGUCACCUGCCUGAAGGCUACCUGACUGGGUUCUUCGUAUUCUUUGUAAGAGAACACCAUUUGUUAAAAUU